Scaptodrosophila lebanonensis is the source of this 527-nucleotide long non-coding RNA. RefSeq lists it as uncharacterized. The record is from RefSeq and is a predicted model, not a curated record. NCBI's taxonomy places the organism in Eukaryota, Metazoa, Arthropoda, Insecta, Diptera, Drosophilidae. The transcript is spliced from 3 exons.
UUUUUGGAUUAUCCCGAUAUUGAAUUAUUACGAUAGGGCGAUUUAACAAGAAGCCCUAUACAUAUCCAUAGUCACUAUUAGUAACUAGUCUCUACUAGCAAUUACUAGGCACUACUAAUAACUACCAGUGACUAAAAACAUUGGCCUUUUAAAUAUUAUAAUAUUACGCACAGGAAUUUUAAAAUUCACUAAGUCUAGUACUAGUAGUUCUAGUUUUACUAAGCCCGAGAAAGGAUGAGUUUGUUCAGUGAUGCAGGGUCCCAACAAAGUCCCAGAACAAAGACCAAUAUAUUCAAGUAAUGAAGGAUCUCCUUAGGCCCGAUGUCAAGAAGGGUCUUAAAAAUAUUAUGUCCGACAGUCUAGCGGCGGAAAUAAAUAUUGACGGCGUAUGGGGGAAAGUAGCGUUAAAAAAUUUUAAAAAUUUGUAUGCUGCUCUGCUUGAUUCUAUUGGGACUGGAGUGUCUGCAGACCGCGAAUUGCGCCAAGCAAUGCAGAUCGCGAAGAAGCGUGUUUUUAAAUUAAGAAGC